CCUACGGGAGGCAGCAGUAGGGAAUAUUGGUAAUCUGGGAAACCGGGAACCAGCAACGCCGCGUGCGCGAUGAAGGCCUUCGGGCUGUAAAGCGCUUUUUGGGGGGAUGAGGAAGGACAGUACCCUCAGAAUAAGCCUCGGCUAACUACGUGCCAGCAGCCGCGGUAAAACGUAGGAGGCGAGCGUUAUCCGGAUUUACUGGGCGUAAAGCGUGUGUAGGCGGUUUGAUAAGUUGGAUGUGAAGGCUCCCGGCUUAACUGGGAGAGGUCGUUCAAAACUAUCAGACUCGAGAGUGGUAGAGGGAGGUGGAAUUCCGCGUGUAGUGGUGAAAUGCGUAGAUAUGCGGAGGAACACCAGUGGCGAAAGCGGCCUCCUGGCCCAUUUCUGACGCUCAGACACGAAAGCUAAGGUAGCAAACGGGAUUAGAGACCCCGGUAGUCUUAGCUGUAAACGAUGUGAACUUAGUGUCGGUGGGGUUAAAUCCAUCGGUACUGAAGCAAACGCGAUAAGUUCACCGCCUGGGGACUACGGCCGCAAGGUUAAAACUCAAAGGAAUUGACGGGGCCCCGCACAAGCAGCGGAGCGUGUGGUUUAAUUCGAUGUUACACGAAGAACCUUACCAAGGUUUGACAUGUAAGUGGUAGGAAGCCGAAAGGCCUACGACCCUUCGGGGAGCUAUGAGAAGGGCGAAUUCCACACCC
Molecule: ribosomal RNA, 701 nt
Filed under: uncultured bacterium
Lineage: Bacteria
Description: bacterial SSU rRNA
Rfam family: Bacterial small subunit ribosomal RNA
Source: RNAcentral